UAAGUUAUUACUUUAUCAGACUUGAUUAUCUCCAGGACUAGGGGAGGGAAUUGUAUGUUUGUGCUGGGAGUGUUUUAUGUUUUCCUUGUGAAUGAUUGGAUGUACCAUGUCCCUCCCUGUGGGAUGUCCCCUUGCACGGGAACUUUCAUAAAAGCCAGUGUGUGAUAAUUAAAAGCCAGUUCUGUUGCACCCUUCUUCUAGACUCCGGCUGAUGUUUGG
Non-coding RNA from Pelobates cultripes (western spadefoot toad), 219 nucleotides. NCBI's taxonomy places the organism in Eukaryota, Metazoa, Chordata, Amphibia, Anura, Pelobatidae. The record is from the annotation of a GenBank genome assembly.